CUUUCAUUAUAGACGCCAACCACCCACAACUGAUCUGAGAGUGGAGUACAAGGCAAACAACACAUGUACAGUGUCUGGAAACAAGCAUUUCUCCAAACCUCAUAUGCCGUCACCAAUGAGUGUGCCAAAAUCCUGUCAUGGUUAUUAUUGAAAUGCUGAUUGGAGCAAGGCAAUUACAUCAGAGUUAAGUUUGUGCUCCAACAGAUAGAUGCUGUCAAUAUCAUAUCGUUCAUCAUAAAUGAAGCAGAAUUGAUUCAGAUUUUUUUUAGUUUUAUACUGUAGUAAAUGUUUAAUUUUAAAAACUAACUAAACUAAAAUAUUUUUGAGGCUGUAAAUUGUAUUCACUGUUGUAAACAAGCUUUUAUGCUUCGCAAACGAUUUUGAUAUAUUAUUCUGUCGUUCAACAUCCUAGAAUGCUUGGUCAUCAUCAUCUCACAUUUUUUUACAUUCCUACAUGAUUUACAUUUUGUAUUUGCAUUGUAUUUGACAAUAACUCUUAGAUUUUUAGAUUCAAAACUUGAAUUUUUUAUAUAAAAAUAAAACUGUUGACCUGGAAGCAAAAAACAGGCUGCUUUUUAUUUCAAUUGUUGUCAGAUGCUUUAACACUUGAUAUGUCUUCAGUACACAAGUUUCUUUUUUAAAUCAUUGGUAUAAAUUAGAUUGUGUUGUUUUUUUUUAAUCAAGCCAUCUUGAGAAUAUGGAUUUAUGUUACCAUUGAAUAAAUCUGUGUUAAUCAGUCA
Non-coding RNA from Danio rerio (zebrafish), 740 nucleotides. The record is from RefSeq and is a predicted model, not a curated record. Lineage: Eukaryota; Metazoa; Chordata; Actinopteri; Cypriniformes; Danionidae.